RNAcentral lists this ribosomal RNA (1232 nucleotides) under metagenome. RNAcentral's name for it is "bacterial LSU rRNA". It matches the Rfam family "Bacterial large subunit ribosomal RNA", at positions 1566 to 2808 of the family's 2925-position model. The record is from RNAcentral.
AGUACGAGAUGCUACGGCAUCGAGGCAGUCUAUGUCAUACUUCCAAGAAAAGCUUGCACUGUCAGAAACAGAUAAUGCCUGUACCAUAACCGACACAGGUGGGUAGGUAGAGUAUACUAAGGGGCGCGAGAUAACUCUCUCUAAGGAACUCGGCAAAAUGACUCCGUAACUUCGGGAGAAGGAGUGCCUUAUUUUUAAGGUUGCAAUAACAAGAUCCAAGCAACUGUUUACCAAAAACACAGGUCUCCGCUAAGUCGUAAGACGAUGUAUGGGGGCUGACGCCUGCCCAGUGCCAGAAGGUUAAAGAACUCGGUUGGCAUUCGCGAAGCUGGUAACUGAAGCCCUGGUGAACGGCGGCCGUAACAAUAACGGUCCUAAGGUAGCGAAAUUCCUUGUCGGGUAAGUUCCGACCCGCACGAAAGGCGUAAUGAUUUGGAUACUGUCUCGGAGAGGGGCUCGGUGAAAUAGACUUGUCUGUGAAGAUGCGGACUACCUGCACCUGGACAGAAAGACCCUAUGAAGCUUUACUGUAACUUGAAAUUGAAAUUGGACUUUAUUUGCGCAGUAUAGGUGGGAGGCGUUGAAAAUAUUCUUGCGGGAAUAUUGGAGCCAUCAGUGAGAUACCACUCUUGUAAUGUUAGAUUUCUAACUUUAUAUCAUUAUCUGGUUAAAGAACAGUUUCAGGCGGGCAGUUUGACUGGGGCGGUCGCCUCCCAAAUGGUAACGGAGGCGCACAAAGGUUUCCUCUGAACGGGUAGAAAUCGUAUCUAGAGUGUAAAGGCAUAAGGAAGCUUGACUGUGAGACCUACAAGUCGAGCAGGGACGAAAGUCGGUCUUAGUGAUCUGACGGUGCUGAGUGGAAAGGCCGUCACUCAACGGAUAAAAGUUACUCUAGGAUAACAGGCUGAUCUCCCCCAAGAGUUCACAUCGACGGGGAGGUUUGGCACCUCGAUGUCGGCUCAUCGCAUCCUGGGGCGGUAGUACGUCCCAAGGGUUGGGCUGUUCGCCCAUGAAAGCGGUACGCGAGCUGGGUUCAGAACGUCGUGAGACAGUUCGGUCCAUAUCCGGUGUAGGCGUUAGAAUAUUGAGAGGAGCCUUCUUUAGUACGAGAGGACCGAGAAGGACAUACCUCUGGUGUACCAGUUAUCGUGCCAACGGUAAACGCUGGGUAGCUAUGUAUGGAGUGGAUAACCGCUGAAAGCAUCUAAGUGGGAAGCCCACCUCAAGAUAAG